UUAAGGUGGAUGAGCAUUUGACCAAAUUGCAACCCCAGAUCCUAAUUUUAUCUAUUGUCUGUUUGAAAAGUCCGGAAAGCUCUAGUGUACAUUUAUACACCUGCUAAAUUACUUCUGAACUCUGGGAAUCAAUUUAUCCCUGUUAGUGUUGUACCCACUAAUAUACUAGUACUAAAUUGCUGAAUAUGAAACGAUAAACAGAACUUUAGUGCAACUAACUGUAAGUUACAUUUCACUCUGGGAGCCAAACGUUACUUUGGUAAACUCAACGAAAGGUGAGUAGGUGCUCUCUAGCAAACUCUGAACAAAGCUUCAGGUGGGUUUUCCUAAAAUUAUGUCUGCUGUUUUAGUUAUGACCUUCAAUAGGUUUGAUUGAGCACCGAAAGCCACUCCACCAUCUGUCCAGGCAAUUUUAACUCCCUCAGCAACCCACGUCUACGUCCAAUCCCACCUGCGCCCUUAAUAUCCCUGUCACUGCUGACCCCGUCUGUGCACUACCUCCUUCCUGUCCUACAGUACUGCUUUCCUUUGAGUCACUAGUUUAGGUUUAUAUUACUCAGAUAAACAUUGAUUUUUUUUUAGAUGUUUUUUGACUGUAUGAAUUUCUUUAAUCUCAACAUUAAUAGUUGCAGACAUGACUUAAAUUCUCUUUUCUCUGCCAUAAGAUACUUUCAUGUUUUAAAGGCUUUCUGAAUUGCACACUAACAAAACACACACUGAUGACUUCACUUGAAUUUUUUUCUGAUACAGACUCUUUUCUGUCUAGUCUCUUGUAACUCAGCUCCGAUCUACUUUUUCUUCAUGUUUCCAUAUUAAUUGCUAACAGCUAUGUUGUCAUUGGAGGCUAUCUGGUAAUUAUCAGUACAACAAACUAACUUCAUGACACUUUGGCUGCCACAUUUACGUCAUUAGUCUGUUUACUUUGUGUCUACUUUGAUUAGAGAGAAAGUAUUAUCUUGAUUGUCUUAGGUGUUGUUUCAGACCAACAUAGCAUGUGUAAAGGAGACUUCAUGAAUUAUGCACAUAUAUAAGAAAGACACAUAAACACCAGAGAUGAAAGCAGCAUGCACUUAUCAUAUUUAGGACAUGUAUUUCCCUGUAUGAUAAUCAAUAAUUCAUUUUUUAUGUUUAAACUAUAAUUUGCUAACUAGAUUAGUCAAGCACCGCCCUCUCCUACACAAGCCAGAGAAUAGCCAAUUACCCCCGCCUUCAUCCUAUAAGGGUGACGGUCAACUGACUUACCCCUUCUCUACAGAACAAUCCCUGACAUGUGAUCUCUACUCUUGUUUGGGCUAAUUGCUAGAGCCAGAACGAGCAAGGAUUUGUGGCUACUCUUGAGAUGUUUUUCCACUCGGGGGAGAGAGUGUGUAAAAAUAUCGGUAACAUGGGUGUUUGGCAUCUUAGAUUAAUUAUGAUUCUGACAGUGUCAGAACUUUAUGAAAGAAGUUUUAACAUUGCUUUGCAACAUUAAAUCUGUAUUUCUUUCACAGGCAGGAACACAUGCACAUACAGUAACGUAAACAAUGAAAACUGAAAGGUUUAAUUGUAUCAGAAAAUAACAUGACUAUAAAUAUCCACAAUUAGGUCAGUGACAACCUCCUGGUUGGCAGCAUUAUAUGGUAUUAAUGGGCCGUAUCAAGCGUCGCAUGUGUUACAGCACUGACCUGUGAAACGUCAGUGCUGACGUACUCUAUAAAUCUGCAACACUUAAUGUGUCAAUGAAGGAUCGGCCUUAUUAAUUACUUUCUACAUUUGGUAACAGAUCUCUGAAACAAGGUUGUCUUGAAAUUAAUCUUGUAUAACUUGAAUUUGUGUUGACCUAUAGUUCUGUUUUAAUAUAGACAGGCUCAGGAUUAAAACGCCCCGAUAACAUUUCAAAGUUGAGUACGAGUCAAAAGUUUGAGAUGUAAGAGCACUGAGACAAUAAUUGGAGAAAUAGGAAUGCCAAACAGGAAAAUGUUUAAAGAAAAAAAAAAAACAAUCUCAGUCCAAACAGUGCCUUGGUGGGACGCAACUCAAAUCUUAAGACUGAAAGCAAGAGGAAAGGAGGAAGGGAGUUGUUUCCAGAUAAAUAUCUGGUAAUGGCUCAUAAUGACGCGUAAUGACAGACGACAGCUUCCUACUAUACACAAGGAAAGAGGGGAACAAACAUGCUGUGGCGGCAGUCUUGAUGAUUGCGUCCACAAUUUUGCAAGGCCUUGAGUAGGUGAUGUAUUUCAGAAAAGCACUUAUUUCUACACCCACUGUCCAGAGAGAAGUCAGGAGCGCCUUUAGUGUCUAAUCAUAGAGAGUUUCAUAUUUAAAAGAUAAUUUUACUUUCAGACUUUAUUUAAGGACCUUCACUUUUACAAAGUUUCCUCUGACGUCUAAGCUCCUGGAUCAAGACUGAGAAAGAAGAGAGAAGAAGCUGCGUGUAAAAAGCCCUCUUGGCCAUCUACCAAGCAA
Long non-coding RNA from Oreochromis niloticus (Nile tilapia), 2445 nucleotides. RefSeq lists it as uncharacterized. The transcript has 2 exons. NCBI's taxonomy places the organism in Eukaryota, Metazoa, Chordata, Actinopteri, Cichliformes, Cichlidae. The record is from RefSeq and is a predicted model, not a curated record.